This is a long non-coding RNA of Cydia splendana, 343 nucleotides long. RefSeq lists it as uncharacterized. The transcript has 4 exons. Lineage: Eukaryota; Metazoa; Arthropoda; Insecta; Lepidoptera; Tortricidae. The record is from RefSeq and is a predicted model, not a curated record.
UAUUUUCCGUUUUAUGAUGAUCCUUCACAGACCUGUUCUGAGUAUUUUUGAGGAACGCCUAAAUUAAUUUCUGAUCAACUAAUGAAAUUUAAAUUUUCUGCAAUGUGCUUCAACAUAUUUAAUGUAUUUUUAUUAUUAUUUACAGGUAUCUUCCCUCAUUCACCACUUGUUUGGUCAUUCAUCAGUCAUCAGGUAUUCACUGUCCCACAACGGAUCCAUGUUGCUGAUGCAUCAGGUGUUGACGUUGGUGAUGACUGACUAAAAUAGCUGGAUCGCUUUGUCCACAACAGAAAAUGUGUUGACUGACUAAAAUAGCUGGAUCGCUUUGUCCACAACAGAAAAU